CACGGCACAGCACGGCACGGCACGGCUCCGCCACGCACCCCCGCAAAGUUCUUUACCCCAGAAACUGCUGCAGAGUGCCUUAGGAUAUGUUUCUGCUGUUACUUCUAAACACCUGGAAAAAAUUAUAGGGGAAGCGUGACUCAAGCCGUCUGUCACUGAGCAGAACUGCUGAGAGGGGAUGGCUGCUCAUUUCCAGACCCUUCCAGGCCUUGGGAAAACUCUGACAGCAGUGAGGUGCUUGACUAAAAACUGCAUGUCAUGGGUUUGUGAGCAACAUAUAAAGCGCUGUGUGCAUACAUGUUUAUAUACCUAAAAUG
Molecule: long non-coding RNA, 317 nt
Organism: Neopelma chrysocephalum (saffron-crested tyrant-manakin)
Lineage: Eukaryota; Metazoa; Chordata; Aves; Passeriformes; Pipridae
Exons: 3
Source: RefSeq, a predicted model, not a curated record